GCACCCCUGGAAGGUGGUGAACAAUGAACGUCAAAGAGUGUGUGGAUGUGGAGUGAAAACCGCGAGGUGGGAAAGAAACGAGAAAUAAACCAGCAGGGAAAGAUGAGGCGAGUGUCCUCUCGGCUGGGAUCCCUGCCUCAUCUGCAAGCCAUAACAGCCAGCCUGUGGGAUAAAUGACUUCUCCCCUGUGUUGGAAGGAGACCCAAGUGAAACAGACACUUCCUGGAGAGGCGAUGUUGCCACCUGACACCCCAGGCAGAAGGAAGUCUUUGCUAUCGGGAUCCCCCAUUCAGCAAGACGGAGGGAAAGUCCCUGGGAUUGGAGAUGUAAAUCCCAGGGCAGGGUGCAGGAGACCCUGAAGAGCCUGCUGCACCUGGGCUUUGUCUAAAGGGAAAGGCAUGUUGGGGUUGGACCUCAUCCCUGGAAUGCAACUGUGAGGAGCAGCAGUUGGAAAGAGGAUUAUUCCUUGAUGAUUAUGGAGAACUAGCGUGUCAGCAAAGUGUCAGAGCAAACUCUUUCCCACGGGAAUAGUAACACACUCCCACAGCUUAUGGUAGCCACCGGCCUGAAAGCUACAUCAGUGGCUGAAGGGAGCUCCACUCAGGUCUUUCCCAUUUCUUCCUUCUCUUCCCCUUAUUUCUUCUUCCAGUGAAGAUCGAAAGACAGAAACAUCACUCAGAUCUUGCUAGAGUGUUGGAAAUACCGUGCCUUUGUUUUGGAUGAUUUGUACUGAUGUGCCACUUCAAUGGGAUGUACAAAGUGUGACUUGGGUGAUGACCAUUUAGCCAGGACUGAGCUGGUUAACAAAGUUUGCAGGCUGAGCACAAAGACUGGGUGGAAUGGAAGCAGCCUGCCAUGCACUUAUAGGACUCUAGUUUUAAACAAGAGAUCUUUAUGAAGGAAACCAGAAAACCAGACCUAUUGUUCAUCUGAAAAUUAAUUCCUGCCGAUUAAACCAUUGGCUUUUAUUUUUUCCCCACCUGAUGCAAUGCAGUGCCUCUCUGUUGGUUUUGUAUAUGUGAUUUGCUAUGCAAUUCAAAUACUAAAUAAGAAGGAGAGACAAACUUUCAUCCCAGGACAAACAGAGAAUCAAAGGUGAAAGGUAGGAUUCAGAUUUUCUCAUUUAAUUACAAAUAAAUAACAUGAGCCGUUCUUUACUGAAAGUCUU
Molecule: long non-coding RNA, 1168 nt
Filed under: Chrysemys picta bellii (western painted turtle)
Lineage: Eukaryota; Metazoa; Chordata; Testudines; Emydidae
Description: lncRNA (ENSCPBG00000007517.1)
Source: RNAcentral